GCUGCUCCAGUCAAGUGCAUCAGCUGAGGAGUUCCUGCGGCGUCUACCAGAAUUUGAUCAGGAAGUCGCAAAGAAACGGCUUGAUGCGGAGGCUGCUGGUGAAGUUCUGAGGUAUGUUGGGGUAGUAGAUGCUGUCCAAAACAAGGAAUGAAUGCAGGGGAUGACAUUAUAGAUGUGCAGGUGAUGGCAGUUGUGGUUGGCAUGAGGCAGAGGUGAAGGAUCUGCAAUGGGUUACGUACUCUGUUUUUAAUUCUGUUUCACGCACUAUGUUUUGCUCUGUUUCACGCACUCUGUUUUGCUCUGUUUCAGACACUAUGUUUUUUGCUCUGUUUUAAUUCGUAAAACAGAGCAAUUAAUUCUGUGUUUUUUU
Long non-coding RNA from Papaver somniferum (opium poppy), 370 nucleotides. RefSeq lists it as uncharacterized. The transcript has 2 exons. NCBI's taxonomy places the organism in Eukaryota, Viridiplantae, Streptophyta, Magnoliopsida, Ranunculales, Papaveraceae. The record is from RefSeq and is a predicted model, not a curated record.